Molecule: ribosomal RNA, 1359 nt
Filed under: Triticum aestivum (bread wheat)
Lineage: Eukaryota; Viridiplantae; Streptophyta; Magnoliopsida; Poales; Poaceae
Description: partial small subunit ribosomal RNA
Source: RNAcentral
AUGGAGGAGUGGGUCUUUCUCGGCGAGAGCGGCAGCGACGCCGAGACCGUGUGCUCCGUGGACGACAAGGGCAGCGAGACGGACUUCACCAUGGUGCAGCUCCGCCGAAGCCGUGCUGCGGAGAGCCGUGCGACGAUGGCUGAAGGCGGCAAGAACCAUGACGAGGAGGAGAGCGACCACGACGACGACGAUGACCAUUACUUCGACCUCAACCUCCCGGCCCUCGCAGGAAGCAAGGCCGUCUUCGGCGCCAAGGGAGAUUGCUUCGAUCUCGAUCUGGCGGCUAGCAUCCUAAGCAUGGGCAGCGUUGGGUACGACGGCGGGUUCCACGGUGCCGACGCCGAGGACGACAUUGACACGGUGAGCCUUGGCGCGCCGGACGGCGACGGCGACGGCGACGGCGCCGUGCACCCAGAGAGCGUCCUCUGUGCCCACUGCGCCAAGAUCGUCACGGACCAGAGCUCCGACGCGGCGAAGCUGGUCAAGUACGACGACAUCGACACUGGCAGCUCUGACGACGAGCCCUCAGACGAGGAUGACACCGAUCAGAGCUCCCACAUGGCGGGAUUGGUCAAGUACGACGACAUCGACACUGGCAGCUCUGAAGACGAGCCCUCAGACGAGGAUGACACCGAUCAGAGCUCCGACAUGUCCGAAUUGGUCGAGUACGACGACAUUGAUAUUGAUACCGGCAGCUCUGACUCGUCGGAGAGCGACUACGGCGAUAACGACGAGCUCUCAGACGAGGAUGACACCGACGGCUCUGUCUGGGCGGAGUUGGUCAACUACGACGACAUUGACACCGGCAGCUCUGACUCGUCGGAGAGCGACCACGACGGCAACGAUGAACUGUCGGACGAGGAUGACACCGAUGGCAAUGUCGCUCCGCAGCAGCGCCGCUUGACAGCCAUAGCAACGUCGCGGCCUCCUAGUGCGCCCCACCUCUUCUUCACCCACCCGAGCCGAUCGACUUACAAGAGCACCGACGCGGAGGAGGGCGACGACGAAAAUACCCAGAAUUCCUCCGACGCGGCGGAGGACGACGACAACUAUGAAACCGAGAGCUACUCUGCCAAGGGUGACAAUGGCGACGAUCACGGCAAGACCUCUUACACGUCGUUGGCUCACCGGGAUGAGGUUAUCUCAGGGUUCGUCGGUGCAAUGAUGACUAGAGCAGAUGCGCUGGCGCGGUUCGACGCGGUGGAAUCGGCGCUGGAGCUCCCACAAUACAGUCUGAGCAAAUCCGACGUCCACGCCUGGAAGGCCGCCCUCGGCAAGGGGAGGGCGGACAUUGCCGCGCGGCCGCGGCCCCCCGUCGCGCCCCACCUCUUCUUCACCCAGCCGAGCCGAUCGACCUAG